Molecule: long non-coding RNA, 488 nt
Filed under: Homo sapiens (human)
Lineage: Eukaryota; Metazoa; Chordata; Mammalia; Primates; Hominidae
Description: non-protein coding lnc-UTRN-3:3
Source: RNAcentral
ACUCUGGCCAGCUUUUAUGUAGGGCAGACAUCUCAGGAGGAAGAGCCAACAGAACCAGAAGUGUUCCCAGACAUGUUGCUUCACCACCGUGCCUCUCUUUCUUUCAGCAAACAGGAGAGGUAGGAGAGGAAGGCAGAACAGAGCACUGUACAAGAAGGCAGGAAUGUCAGGCCUCUGAGCCCAAGCCAAGCCAUCGCAUCCCCUGUGACUUGCACGUAUACGCCCAGAUGGCCUGAAGUAACUGAAGAAUCACAAAAGAAGUGAAAAGGCCCUGCCCGGCCUUAACUGAUGACAUUCCACCAUUGUGAUUUGUUCCUGCCCCACCUUAACUGAGUGAUUAACCCUGUGAAUUUCCUUCCCCUGGCUCAGAAGCUCUCCCACUGAGCACCUUGUGACCCCCGCCCCUGCCCACCAGAGAACAACCCCCUUUGACUGUAAUUUUCCUUUACCUUCCCAAAUCCUAUAAAAGGGCCCCACCCGUAUCUCCC